Molecule: ribosomal RNA, 445 nt
Filed under: uncultured bacterium
Lineage: Bacteria
Description: partial 16S ribosomal RNA
Rfam family: Bacterial small subunit ribosomal RNA
Source: RNAcentral
GUGAGGAAUAUUGCGCAAUGGAGGCAACUCUGACGCAGCCAUGCCGCGUGCAGGAAGAAGGCGCUACGCGUUGUAAACUGCUUUUAACCGGGAAGAAACCCCAGGACGUGUCCUGGGUUGACGGUACCGGAGGAAUAAGCACCGGCUAACUUCGUGCCAGCAGCCGCGGUAAUACGAAGGGUGCAAGCGUUAUCCGGAUUAAUUGGGUUUAAAGGGUGCGUAGGCGGAGCGUUAAGUCAGUGGUGAAGUCCUGCAGCUUAACUGUAGACUUGCCAUAGAUACUGGCGCUCUUGAGUGCGCUUGAAGUGGGCGGAAUGUGCCGUGUAGCGGUGAAAUGCUUAGAUAUGGCACAGAACACCAAUUGCGAAGGCAGCUCACUAAAGCGAUACUGACGCUGAGGCACGAAAGCGUGGGGAGCAAACAGGAUUAGAAACCCCUGUAGUCC